GAUGAACGCUGGCUACAGGCUUAACACAUGCAAGUCGAGGGGAAACGACGGGGAAGCUUGCUUCCCCGGGCGUCGACCGGCGCACGGGUGAGUAACGCGUAUCCAACCUGCCUCUGACUGAGGGAUAACCCGUCGAAAGUCGGCCUAAUACCUCAUGGUAUCGUCUGCGGGCAUCCAACGACGAUUAAAGAUUUCAUCGGUCAGGGAUGGGGAUGCGUCUGAUUAGCUUGUUGGCGGGGUAACGGCCCACCAAGGCUACGAUCAGUAGGGGUUCUGAGAGGAAGGUCCCCCACAUUGGAACUGAGACACGGUCCAAACUCCGACGGGAGGCAGCAGUGAGGAAUAUUGGUCAAUGGGCGAGAGCCUGAACCAGCCAAGUAGCGUGCAGGAAGACGGCCCUAUGGGUUGUAAACUGCUUUUAUGCGGGGAUAAAGUGAGGGACGUGUCCCUCAUUGCAGGUACCGCAUGAAUAAGGACCGGCUAAUUCCGUG
This 491-nucleotide ribosomal RNA is filed under the name uncultured bacterium. Its description in RNAcentral is "partial 16S ribosomal RNA". It matches the Rfam family "Bacterial small subunit ribosomal RNA", at positions 28 to 507 of the family's 1533-position model. The record is from RNAcentral.